This 140-nucleotide ribosomal RNA is filed under the name uncultured bacterium. RNAcentral's name for it is "partial 16S ribosomal RNA". It matches the Rfam family "Bacterial small subunit ribosomal RNA", at positions 338 to 492 of the family's 1533-position model. The record is from RNAcentral.
CCUACGGGAGGCAGCAGUAGGGAAUCUUCCACAAUGGACGAAAGUCUGAUGGUGCAACGCCGCGUGAGUGAAGAAGGUUUUCGGAUCGUAAAACUCUGUUGUUGGAGAAGAACGUANUGAUGGUAACUGAUCAGGUAGUG